This is a long non-coding RNA of Vespula vulgaris, 987 nucleotides long. RefSeq lists it as uncharacterized. NCBI's taxonomy places the organism in Eukaryota, Metazoa, Arthropoda, Insecta, Hymenoptera, Vespidae. The transcript has 3 exons. The record is from RefSeq and is a predicted model, not a curated record.
AUUUAUUUCUUCUUUACGUGAGACGGAUAUGUAUGUGCGAAAAGAAGUUCGUUUCGAAAACGAAAAUUUCGAAAAGGGGACAGAGCAAAAUUUUGUGUCUCGUAUAGAUCGAUAAUUUUCAUUGUUCUUUCCUUUUUUUUUAUUCUUUAUUCUUUUAUAAUAUUAUAUUCAUCGAAAGUUCGGAGCAAUUUUGCUUUUCGAUAGAUCGAAAGAACGAACAACCAACGAGAAGCUGUUCAAGAGAGAAGACAUUCUUAACAUCUUGGAUACCGAACUAUUUUUAAGUAUAGGCCACGUGUCCCAUAAAUAAUCUACGUUAUUAACUAUCAUAGUAAAGUGUAAAACACGAGUUAUAUGAUAUUUAUAAGAGCGAAAAAAUAAUUAAUGGAAAGAGAAAGCGGUCAUCCAACGAAUUUCUCGAGGAUAAAUACAGUAAUAAAUGACCCUUUAGAAAAAGUUCAACGGACCGUCAAGAGUGUGCACGACGAAUGUUCCGGAACGAGAGAAAGAGGAAGUUUCGGAAAGGAAGAAGAACGAGACGACGAUAUCAAAGAUGCUCGAAGCGAAGCAAAGUGGGCGUUCGAUUACGGUGCCUCGUUAAAACCGAUCCUCUCGAGUGCGUUGAUUAAUAUGGAAAGCAACACGAAUUUUAGGUGCAAACGCAUGGAAGAAAACCGGUUGUCGGUGGGCAAUCGCGAUUCGCGGCACGGUCAAGUGCGCUGGAACGUUUGUAAGAACGUCUCUCUCUCUCUUUCUCUGAAAACAAACAUCUUUGGAGUAAUGAGCCAAACGAGGAAUAUAUUUAUGAAGGACGAUAAAAAUACGCGAGACAGGAAUCGCAGCUAACUUUAAUUACGGCACUGAAUUUCCAUCGAUAAUGACGAUGUAAUGACCCCAGAACUCGGAGUUUGUUUUGUAAAUACUUGAGAAGUAAACAAAAAAAUAAAAAGAAAAAAAAAGAAACUAAGAAAAAGAAGGGGAAAAAAA